GAUGAACGCUGGCGGCGUGCUUAACACAUGCAAGUCGAACGGAAAGGCUCCUGCUUGCAGGGGUACUCGAGUGGCGAACGGGUGAGUAACACGUGGGUGAUCUGCCCUGCACUUCGGGAUAAGCCUGGGAAACUGGGUCUAAUACCGGAUAGGACGAUGGUUUGGAUGCCAUUGUGGAAAGUUUUUCGGUGUGGGAUGAGCUCGCGGCCUAUCAGCUUGUUGGUGGGGUAAUGGCCUACCAAGGCGUCGACGGGUAGCCGGCCUGAGAGGGUGUACGGCCACAUUGGGACUGAGAUACGACCCAGACUCCUACGGGAGGCAGCAGUGGGGAAUAUUGCACAAUGGGCGCAAGCCUGAUGCAGCGACGCCGCGUGGGGGAUGACGGCCUUCGGGUUGUAAACUCCUUUCGCUAGGGACGAAGCGCAAGUGACGGUACCUGGAGAAGAAGCACCGGCUAACUACGUG
This 465-nucleotide ribosomal RNA is filed under the name uncultured bacterium. Its description in RNAcentral is "partial 16S ribosomal RNA". It matches the Rfam family "Bacterial small subunit ribosomal RNA", at positions 28 to 507 of the family's 1533-position model. The record is from RNAcentral.